Molecule: ribosomal RNA, 336 nt
Filed under: Segatella copri
Lineage: Bacteria; Pseudomonadati; Bacteroidota; Bacteroidia; Bacteroidales; Prevotellaceae
Description: bacterial SSU rRNA
Rfam family: Bacterial small subunit ribosomal RNA
Source: RNAcentral
ACAAUGGAGAGUUUGAUCCUGGCUCAGGAUGAACGCUAGCUACAGGCUUAACACAUGCAAGUCGAGGGGAAACGAUAUUGGAAGCUUGCUUCCGAUAGGCGUCGACCGGCGCACGGGUGAGUAACGCGUAUCCAACCUGCCCACCACUUGGGAAUAACCUUGCGAAAGUAAGACUAAUACCCAAUGAUAUCUCAAGAAGACAUCUGAAUGAGAUUAAAGAUUUAUCGGUGAUGGAUGGGGAUGCGUCUGAUUAGCUUGUUGGCGGGGUAACGGCCCACCAAGGCGACGAUCAGUAGGGGUUCUGAGAGGAAGGUCCCCCACAUUGGAACUGAGACA